CUGCUCACUUCAGCAGCACAUAUACUAAAAUUGGAAUGUUAUACAGAAGAUUAGCAUGGUACCUUCACGAGGAUAACACAAAAAUUUGGGAAGCAUUCUAUAUUUUU
Molecule: small nuclear RNA, 107 nt
Organism: Lontra canadensis (Northern American river otter)
Lineage: Eukaryota; Metazoa; Chordata; Mammalia; Carnivora; Mustelidae
Source: RefSeq, a predicted model, not a curated record